AUGAUGGGUCGGUUCCGGUGUACUAUCAACGACCUCGCGCUCAAAGAGGUCUACCUCAACGGCCGGCGUUUCACGUGGUCCAACGAGCAGUCACCCCCAACCCUGGUGCACCUCGACCGCGUCCUCUGUACCCCCGACUGGGAGGAACUGCAUGGGGAGUGCCACCUCCGAUGCCUCGCCUCCGUUGUUUCCGAUCACAGCCCCUUGCUGCUUGAUUGCAAACCGGUGCCGCCAGGUCAUCGAUGA
RNAcentral lists this ribosomal RNA (246 nucleotides) under Triticum aestivum (bread wheat). RNAcentral describes it as "partial small subunit ribosomal RNA". The record is from RNAcentral. Lineage: Eukaryota; Viridiplantae; Streptophyta; Magnoliopsida; Poales; Poaceae.